Molecule: ribosomal RNA, 253 nt
Filed under: uncultured bacterium
Lineage: Bacteria
Description: partial 16S ribosomal RNA
Rfam family: Bacterial small subunit ribosomal RNA
Source: RNAcentral
UACGUAGGGGGCAAGCGUUGUCCGGAAUCAUUGGGCGUAAAGCGCGUGUAGGCGGCUCGGUAAGUCUGCUGUGAAAGUCCAGGGCUCAACCCUGGGAUGCCGGUGGAUACUGUCGAGCUCGAGUCCGGAAGAGGCGAGUGGAAUUCCUGGUGUAGCGGUGAAAUGCGCAGAUAUCAGGAGGAACACCAAUGGCGAAGGCAGCUCGCUGGGACGUUACUGACGCUGAGGCGCGAAAGCGUGGGGAGCGAACAGG